Molecule: ribosomal RNA, 415 nt
Filed under: uncultured Acidobacteriota bacterium
Lineage: Bacteria; Pseudomonadati; Acidobacteriota
Description: bacterial SSU rRNA
Rfam family: Bacterial small subunit ribosomal RNA
Source: RNAcentral
UAAUGGCCCACCAAGACGAUGAUCGGUAUCCGGCCUGAGAGGGCGCACGGACACACUGGAACUGAAACACGGACAAAACUCCUACGGGAGGCAGCAGUGGGGAAUUUUGCGCAAUGGGGGAAACCCUGACGCAGCAACGCCGCGUGGAGGAUGAAGUACUUCGGUACGUAAACUCCUUUCGAUCGGGACGAUAAUGACGGUACCGAGAGAAGAAGCCCCGGCUAACUUCGUGCCAGCAGCCGCGGUAAUACGAGGGGGGCGAGCGUUGUUCGGAAUUAUUGGGCGUAAAGGGUGCGUAGGCGGUUUGGUAAGUCUCGUGUGAAAUCUAUGGGCUCAACUCAUAUUCUGCACGAGAAACUGCCGGGCUUGAGUGUGGGAGAGGUGAGUGGUAUUUUCCCGUGUACCCGUCAAAAUG